Molecule: ribosomal RNA, 468 nt
Filed under: uncultured bacterium
Lineage: Bacteria
Description: partial 16S ribosomal RNA
Rfam family: Bacterial small subunit ribosomal RNA
Source: RNAcentral
GACGAACGCUGGCGGCGUGCUUAACACAUGCAAGUCGAACGGAAAGGCCCUGCUUUUGUGGGGUGCUCGAGUGGCGAACGGGUGAGUAACACGUGAGUAACCUGCCCUUGACUUUGGGAUAACUUCAGGAAACUGGGGCUAAUACCGGAUAGGAGCCCCUGCUGCAUGGUGGGGGUUGGAAAGUUUCGGCGGGUGGGGAUGGACUCGCGGCUUAUCAGCUUGUUGGUGGGGUAGUGGCUUACCAAGGCUUUGACGGGUAGCCGGCCUGAGAGGGUGACCGGCCACAUUGGGACUGAGAUACGGCCCAGACUCCUACGGGAGGCAGCAGUGGGGAAUAUUGCACAAUGGGCGGGAGCCUGAUGCAGCAACGCCGCGUGCGGGAUGACGGCCUUCGGGUUGUAAACCGCUUUCGCCUGUGACGAAGCGUGAGUGACGGUAAUGGGUAAAGAAGCACCGGCUAACUACGUG